CCUACGGGAGGCAGCAGUGGGGAAUAUUGGGCAAUGGGCGCAAGCCUGACCCAGCAACGCCGCGUGAAGGAAGAAGGCUUUCGGGUUGUAAACUUCUUUUCUCAGGGACGAAGCAAGUGACGGUACCUGAGGAAUAAGCCACGGCUAACUACGUGCCAGCAGCCGCGGUAAUACGUAGGUGGCAAGCGUUAUCCGGAUUUACUGGGUGUAAAGGGCGUGUAGGCGGGACUGCAAGUCAGAUGUCAAAACCACGGGCUCAAACUGUGGCCUGCAUUUGAAACUGUAGUUCUUGAGUACUGGAGAGGCGGACGGAAUUCCUAGUGUAGCGGUGAAAUGCGUAGAUAUUAGGAGGGGCACCAGUGGCGAGGGCGGUCUGCUGGACAGCAACUGACGCUGAGGCGCGAAAGCGUGGGGAGCAAACAGGAUUAGAUACCCUUGUAGUA
Molecule: ribosomal RNA, 443 nt
Filed under: uncultured bacterium
Lineage: Bacteria
Description: partial 16S ribosomal RNA
Rfam family: Bacterial small subunit ribosomal RNA
Source: RNAcentral